GAUGAAGAACGUAGCGAAAUGCGAUAAGUAAUGUGAAUUGCAGAAUUCAGUGAACCAUCGAAUCUUUGAACGCACAUUGCGCCCGGCAGUAAUCUGCCGGGCAUGCCUGUCCGAGCGUCAUUUCUGCCCUCGAGCGAGUCCAGCAUCUAGGUGCUGGGCCCGCCCGGCGUUGGGGCACUACGGGAAGCCCUGUGCUGUCCCCCGUAGGCCCCGAAAUGAAGUGGCGGUCCUGCCGCGGCGCCCCCUGCGUAGUAUAACAGCUCGCUUCGUGACCCGGUGGAGGCCUGCCGUCAAACCUUACUCUCUAAGUUUGACCUCGGAUCAGGUAGGGUUACCCGCUGAACUUAAGCAUAUCAAUAAGCGGAGGA
This 368-nucleotide unclassified non-coding RNA is filed under the name soil metagenome. RNAcentral describes it as "partial contains 5.8S ribosomal RNA, internal transcribed spacer 2, and large subunit ribosomal RNA". The stretch from base 1 to 120 matches the Rfam family "5.8S ribosomal RNA", at positions 35 to 154 of the family's 154-position model. The record is from RNAcentral.